ACUUCCCCUCAACGCGCUGCUCAGGGAUGACCUUCGGCACUGUGCUUCUUCUGAGUGUCCUGGCUUCUUAUCAUGGAUUCAACCUGGAUGUGGAGGAGCCUACGAUCUUCCAGGAGGAUGCAGGCGGCUUUGGGCAGAGCGUGGUGCAGUUCGGUGGAUCUCGACUCGUGGUGGGAGCACCCCUGGAGGUGGUGGCGGCCAACCAGACGGGACGGCUGUAUGACUGCGCAGCUGCCACCGGCAUGUGCCAGCCCAUCCCGCUGCACAUCCGCCCUGAGGCCGUGAACAUGUCCUUGGGCCUGACCCUGGCAGCCUCCACCAACGGCUCCCGGCUCCUGGCCUGUGGCCCGACCCUGCACAGAGUCUGUGGGGAGAACUCAUACUCAAAGGGUUCCUGCCUCCUGCUGGGCUCGCGCUGGGAGAUCAUCCAGACAGUCCCCGACGCCACGCCAGAGUGUCCACAUCAAGAGAUGGACAUCGUCUUCCUGAUUGACGGCUCUGGAAGCAUUGACCAAAAUGACUUUAACCAGAUGAAGGGCUUUGUCCAAGCUGUCAUGGGCCAGUUUGAGGGCACUGACACCCUGUUUGCACUGAUGCAGUACUCAAACCUCCUGAAGAUCCACUUCACCUUCACCCAAUUCCGGACCAGCCCGAGCCAGCAGAGCCUGGUGGAUCCCAUCGUCCAACUGAAAGGCCUGACGUUCACGGCCACGGGCAUCCUGACAGUGGUGACACAGCUAUUUCAUCAUAAGAAUGGGGCCCGAAAAAGUGCCAAGAAGAUCCUCAUUGUCAUCACAGAUGGGCAGAAGUACAAAGACCCCCUGGAAUACAGUGAUGUCAUCCCCCAGGCAGAGAAGGCUGGCAUCAUCCGCUACGCUAUCGGGGUGGGACACGCUUUCCAGGGACCCACUGCCAGGCAGGAGCUGAAUACCAUCAGCUCAGCGCCUCCGCAGGACCACGUGUUCAAGGUGGACAACUUUGCAGCCCUUGGCAGCAUCCAGAAGCAGCUGCAGGAGAAGAUCUAUGCAGUUGAGGGAACCCAGUCCAGGGCAAGCAGCUCCUUCCAGCACGAGAUGUCCCAAGAAGGCUUCAGCACAGCCCUCACAAUGUCUCUGCCCAGCCCUGGAAUUCUUUCCUCCCAGGAUGGCCUCUUCCUGGGGGCUGUGGGGAGCUUUAGCUGGUCUGGAGGUGCCUUCCUGUAUCCCCCAAAUAUGAGCCCCACCUUCAUCAACAUGUCUCAGGAGAAUGUGGACAUGAGGGACUCUUACCUGGGUUACUCCACCGAGCUAGCCCUGUGGAAGGGGGUACAGAACCUGGUCCUGGGGGCCCCCCGCUACCAGCAUACCGGGAAGGCUGUCAUCUUCACCCAGGUGUCCAGGCAAUGGAGGAAGAAGGCCGAAGUCACAGGGACGCAGAUCGGCUCCUACUUCGGGGCCUCCCUCUGCUCUGUGGAUGUGGACAGCGAUGGCAGCACCGACCUGAUCCUCAUUGGGGCCCCCCAUUACUAUGAGCAGACCCGAGGGGGCCAGGUGUCCGUGUGUCCCUUGCCUAGGGGGCAGAGGGUGCAGUGGCAGUGUGACGCUGUUCUCCGUGGUGAGCAGGGCCACCCCUGGGGCCGCUUUGGGGCAGCCCUGACAGUGUUGGGGGAUGUGAAUGAGGACAAGCUGAUAGACGUGGCCAUUGGGGCCCCGGGAGAGCAGGAGAACCGGGGUGCUGUCUACCUGUUUCACGGAGCCUCAGAAUCCGGCAUCAGCCCCUCCCACAGCCAGCGGAUUGCCAGCUCCCAGCUCUCCCCCAGGCUGCAGUAUUUUGGGCAGGCGCUGAGUGGGGGUCAGGACCUCACCCAGGAUGGACUGAUGGACCUGGCCGUGGGGGCCCGGGGCCAGGUGCUCCUGCUCAGGAGUCUGCCGGUGCUGAAAGUGGGGGUGGCCAUGAGAUUCAGCCCUGUGGAGGUGGCCAAGGCUGUGUACCGGUGCUGGGAAGAGAAGCCCAGUGCCCUGGAAGCUGGGGACGCCACCGUCUGUCUCACCAUCCAGAAAAGCUCACUGGACCAGCUAGGUGACAUCCAAAGCUCUGUCAGGUUUGAUCUGGCACUGGACCCAGGUCGUCUGACUUCUCGUGCCAUUUUCAAUGAAACCAAGAACCCCACUUUGACUCGAAGAAAAACCCUGGGACUGGGGAUUCACUGUGAAACCCUGAAGCUGCUUUUGCCAGAUUGUGUGGAGGAUGUGGUGAGCCCCAUCAUUCUGCACCUCAACUUCUCACUGGUGAGAGAGCCCAUCCCCUCCCCCCAGAACCUGCGUCCUGUGCUGGCCGUGGGCUCACAAGACCUCUUCACUGCUUCUCUCCCCUUCGAGAAGAACUGUGGGCAAGAUGGCCUCUGUGAAGGGGACCUGGGUGUCACCCUCAGCUUCUCAGGCCUGCAGACCCUGACCGUGGGGAGCUCCCUGGAGCUCAACGUGAUUGUGACUGUGUGGAACGCAGGUGAGGAUUCCUACGGAACCGUGGUCAGCCUCUACUAUCCAGCAGGGCUGUCGCACCGACGGGUGUCAGGAGCCCAGAAGCAGCCCCAUCAGAGUGCCCUGCGCCUGGCAUGUGAGACAGUGCCCACUGAGGAUGAGGGCCUAAGAAGCAGCCGCUGCAGUGUCAACCACCCCAUCUUCCAUGAGGGCUCUAACGGCACCUUCAUAGUCACAUUCGAUGUCUCCUACAAGGCCACCCUGGGAGACAGGAUGCUUAUGAGGGCCAGUGCAAGCAGUGAGAACAAUAAGGCUUCAAGCAGCAAGGCCACCUUCCAGCUGGAGCUCCCGGUGAAGUAUGCAGUCUACACCAUGAUCAGCAGGUGCCCAGUCCCUGGCCUUCCCCUUGGACCUCUGGCCUUCCUCUAUGCCUGGCAGGAAGAAUCCACCAAGUACUUCAACUUUGCAACCUCCGAUGAGAAGAAAAUGAAAGAGGCUGAGCAUCGAUACCGUGUGAAUAACCUCAGCCAGCGAGAUCUGGCCAUCAGCAUUAACUUCUGGGUUCCUGUCCUGCUGAACGGGGUGGCUGUGUGGGAUGUGGUCAUGGAGGCCCCAUCUCAGAGUCUCCCCUGUGUUUCAGAGAGAAAACCUCCCCAGCAUUCUGACUUCCUGACCCAGAUUUCAAGAAGUCCCAUGCUGGACUGCUCCAUUGCUGACUGCCUGCAGUUCCGCUGUGACGUCCCCUCCUUCAGCGUCCAGGAGGAGCUGGAUUUCACCCUGAAGGGCAAUCUCAGUUUCGGCUGGGUCCGCGAGACAUUGCAGAAGAAGGUGUUGGUCGUGAGUGUGGCUGAAAUUACGUUCGACACAUCCGUGUACUCCCAGCUUCCAGGACAGGAGGCAUUUAUGAGAGCUCAGAUGGAGAUGGUGCUAGAAGAAGACGAGGUCUACAAUGCCAUUCCCAUCAUCAUGGGCAGCUCUGUGGGGGCUCUGCUACUGCUGGCGCUCAUCACAGCCACACUGUACAAGAGUGGCUGAAGUGAGAGAGAAAUGAGGCCAGGGCAUGUGCACAGAUCUGCCUGGAUCUAUGCUGUCCUGCCACGGGUCGUGUGUGUACCUACUGUGCUCGGGGCCAGCAGAUGCUCGAUAUAUGAUAGCUGUUCACAUAAAUGUUCUCGCACACAAACCUUGGCUUCUUCAAACGCCACUACAAGGAAAUGCUGGAGGACAAGCCUGAAGACACUGCCACAUUCAGUGGGGACGAUUUCAGCUGUGUGGCCCCAAAUGUGCCUUUGUCCUAAUAAUCCACUUUCCUGUUUAUCUCUACCACUGUGGGCUGGACUUGCUUGCAACCAUAAAUCAACUUACAUGGAAACAACUUCUGCAUAGAUCUGCACUGGCCUAAGCAACCUACCAGGUGCUAAGCACCUUCUCGGAGAGAUAGAGAUUGUAAUGUUUUUACAUAUCUGUCCAUCUUUUUCAGCAAUGACCCACUUUUUACAGAAGCAGGCAUGGUGCCAGCAUAAAUUUUCAUAUGCUUAAGAAUUGUCACAUGAAAUGAGGAUGUUUAUAGCACACUUUCCUUGCGUGGAAGAGCUAUAACCCAGGGACCUGAGUGCCUCUCUGGGAAUAGUCGGGGGAACCUAUUUGUGGGCAUUGAAAAAGUUUUUUCACUUUC
Molecule: RNA transcript, 4134 nt
Organism: Homo sapiens (human)
Lineage: Eukaryota; Metazoa; Chordata; Mammalia; Primates; Hominidae
Gene: ITGAD
Gene name: integrin subunit alpha D
Exons: 31
Source: RefSeq, marked reviewed